Molecule: ribosomal RNA, 253 nt
Filed under: uncultured bacterium
Lineage: Bacteria
Description: partial 16S ribosomal RNA
Rfam family: Bacterial small subunit ribosomal RNA
Source: RNAcentral
UACGUAGGGUGCAAGCGUUAAUCGGAAUUACUGGGCGUAAAGCGUGCGCAGGCGGUUUUGUAAGUCAGAUGUGAAAUCCCCGGGCUCAACCUGGGAACUGCAUUUGUGACUGCAUGGCUAGAGUACGGUAGAGGGGGAUGGAAUUCCGCGUGUAGCAGUGAAAUGCGUAGAUAUGCGGAGGAACACCGAUGGCGAAGGCAAUCCCCUGGACCUGUACUGACGCUCAUGCACGAAAGCGUGGGGAGCAAACAGG